AUGGCUGUGGAGAGAGACAUCUUUGGUAUCUCAGGGCCGACAUAUCUUAAUCCUGUUAAUUGGAACUGCGAGAAUAAUAGGAGAUCUGUGGCUGCAUGUUUAGUUCAGGCCGUGUAUGUUUUGGAGAGAGACCGGCAACUAAACCGUAAAUCUGUUGACGCCGCAGCACCUCCUUGGUGGGAGUUCUUCCAUUUUGAGAUGAUCCGCAAGCUUGUCGAUGAUGUUGACUUGUCUAUAUUCGGUGCAAUAUUUGAAUUCAACCCUCCUUCAAGUAAAGAAGCUUCUGCCCAGGAUGCCCCUAGAUUUAUCAUUGCCUUCAGAGGCACCAUAACUGAGAAGGAAACUAUUUCUAGAGAUCUUUCCCUUGACCUCCAGCUUGUUCAAAAUGGUCUCCAUAAGACCUCAAGAUUUGCAAUUGCGAUGCAAGCUGUUCAAAAUGUAGCCUCAGCUUUCCCUGGAUCCCCGAUUUGGCUAGCUGGUCAUUCACUGGGUGCAGGUACGGCCAUCCUUACUGGAAGAAACAUGGUUAAGAAGGGCGCUCUUUUGGAUAGUUUUCUCUUCAAUCCACCGUUUGUCGCUGCUCCGAUAGAGGGAAUCAGGGAUGAGAGGGUAAAGCAUGGUUUCCGCAUUGCAAGAAGUGUUAUUACCGCGGGACUAACUAUUGCACUGAAAGCAAAAACCGAGGGGAACAAUCAGAGGUCUGUUGCGGAAGAAUCAUUCAACAUUUUGUUAUCAUGGACGCCAUAUCUGUUUGUUAAUCCAGGAGACCAUGUAUGUUCAGAGUACAUUGGGUACUUCCAGCAUCGUAGGAACAUGGAGGAUCUCGGUGCUGGAUUUAUUGAGAAGCUUGCGACCCAAAACUCAAUCGGAGACCUGUUUUACAAGGCAUUAGGAUGGGAAUCAGAACCGCUGCACCUUCUUCCAUCUGCAGACUUAAUUGUAAACGUGAGCCCUUCACCGGACUUCAAAUAUGCCCAUGGCAUUAGCCAAUGGUGGCAACCGAAUCUGAACUUGCAAUGCAAUAAAUAUCGGUACUCUUAG
This 1041-nucleotide ribosomal RNA is filed under the name Triticum aestivum (bread wheat). RNAcentral's name for it is "partial small subunit ribosomal RNA". The record is from RNAcentral. Lineage: Eukaryota; Viridiplantae; Streptophyta; Magnoliopsida; Poales; Poaceae.